GACAAAUACAUUUCCUGCCUAAUCUUAGGUACAUGUAGUUAGGUUUAAAUGAUAGAACCAAAAACAGAUUGAAAACAAAUAAAUUAAUAAACAAAAAGAACAAUGAAAAGGCAAAACAUGAUUUUGUUCCCUGUAAGGUCAAAUAAUAGUUCCAAUAUCUAGCUGAAAAUCAACUAUAUAUAGCUAAGGGAACAGUUAAGUAAAGGGUAAAGACACAUCUUUUAAUCUUUAAUUUCUAUCCAAACUUACCCGUACGUGCCACUUUACAUAUACAUGUGACCAAACCCAAAUCUGAAGUAUUGUGCACUAAUUUUGGC
This 317-nucleotide long non-coding RNA is filed under the name Panax ginseng (ginseng). Its description in RNAcentral is "long non-coding RNA (PGIN_LNC017650)". The record is from RNAcentral. Lineage: Eukaryota; Viridiplantae; Streptophyta; Magnoliopsida; Apiales; Araliaceae.